AUGGAUCUUACACCACAAUCUUUAUACACGGUCAAGGUGAGGUUGGGAAAAGACCAUCAGUCCACUGGAUGGCCCUCUUCAGUUCCCGCUUCCUGUGGUCACCUGGCUCCAGGGGAUGGUUCCCGUGUCUCUCUUCUGGAGGGAAUUCUUUGGCUAAGGGCACAUGCUUGGCUUUCAGGGAGCAGGACAGAUGUUCCAGGGGGUGACAGCCCUCACACUGUGCGGAAUGAGAGCAGAAUCAGAAUCAAGGGGCUUCUGCCUUUGAGGCUCUGGCCCUGGCCCAGCCUCUCUGUAGAGCAUCAGCAGAGCAGGGAGCUGUCCCUAAAGGUGGAGGUAGAGUGGAGCCAUGCUUGACACAGAGGGAAGAGAGAACCAUCCCACCUCCUGCCACCAGUGGGGACAUGGCUGUGGGUUGUCACAGAGUGCUCCAUGCUGCCACGUGGCUCUGCCCCAAGGAAGGAUCUACAUGGGGGGUAUUUAAUACCUCAUGGAUUUGGAACCCAUCUUGGGGCCCCAGGCCCAGGAGCUGUAGAGCCAGAGCACCUAGGGGAGGCCCAGUCCCAUCCUGCCCACUCCCUUCCACAUCCCGCCCCGUCUGUACCCAAAGCCCU
RNAcentral lists this long non-coding RNA (611 nucleotides) under Fukomys damarensis (Damara mole-rat). RNAcentral's name for it is "lncRNA (ENSFDAG00000028275.1)". Lineage: Eukaryota; Metazoa; Chordata; Mammalia; Rodentia; Bathyergidae. The record is from RNAcentral.